This 1771-nucleotide long non-coding RNA is filed under the name Anser brachyrhynchus (Pink-footed goose). RNAcentral describes it as "lncRNA (ENSABRG00000021228.1)". Lineage: Eukaryota; Metazoa; Chordata; Aves; Anseriformes; Anatidae. The record is from RNAcentral.
GUAACAAACACGCUGAUAAACUACAUCCUCAAACAAUCUGCCGGACGGAGCGCUGCAAAGGCCGGCCCACCCACGCCGGCUGCCACAGCCGCACUCGGUGGGUCAGGGCUCUGCGCCCGCACCUCGGCGGGCCGCUGGAGGCCGGGGGCACGCACAGAAGCCCCCGAACUCGGGGUGAGCUCCCGCUGCGGUGCCCUGCUGCGGCUGGGGCAGGCCUCACACGGGACGUUCGGGCCCCUGGAGGCCAGGCCCGGUGCCCGUCGCCUCCCGCCCCACCGGCCCGCUGAGGGGGCUCGGGCCGGGAAGGACGAGGCCUACUCCCGGGCCGGGCCUCGGCCUCAGCGCCUCGCGGCCCCCUCCCCGUUGCCAGGGCGGUUGCCGGGGCGCCAUGUCGGGGAGCGCGGCGACCCGGAAGCGGUGCCGGCAGCGGGGUUUCUCUUCCUGCGCGGCGGGGCCGGGCCGGCCGGGUUAGGAGGCAGGAAAUGGCGGCGGUGCUGCAGCAGCAGCUGCCGGGCCCUCCCGCUCCGCAGUGCCGGGCCCAGGCCGCCUAGAGCCGCCGCGACAGCGCCGGGCCCGGGCCGCAGCCACGCCGGGCCGGACUCCGAGCACUUUACAUACAUGAGAGAAUUGGAAGCUAAAGCUACCAAAGAAGUCGAAAGAAAACUAAGCAGGGAUUUAGUGCAAGAAGAGGAAGAACAGUUGAUGGAAGAAAGGAAAAAGAGAAAAGAAGACAAGAAGAAGAAGGAAGCUGCUCAAAAAAAGGUAUGUUGAGCAUUAAGAAAGUGCUUGUGGAUUACUUCUUUUCAUCACUGGUGAAUAUUGUUAUAUCCGUUGUUAUACAAAAGUGUUUUCUUUUUAAUUUCAUUUUUUAUGCUUUAUAUCUACUGUCAGUUAUGCAAUGGUGACUGACGUAUAGAGCCUCUAACUUGGCUUUGUGUACAGGUUCCUUAGAGAUUAAAUAAUCUCCUGAGAUGACCGUUCUUUUUCCUGAUUGCCAGUUAAGUCCACUUGAAGUUUGAAAACUUCCUCAGUAUCAGUUCUCCCUGUUAGCCUAAACAAAGGUGUUCGUUGUGCACCUGUAGAAAAUUCGGCAUGUCUAAUCUUAUGACAAAUCUAAGUAAAAUUGUACAGAAAGGAUCCUUCUGGAAAAGGUGAGGUGUUUCCUCCUAUUUCAGAAUGAGGUUCCGUAAUCUUUUCAGCAGCUGACAACAACGCUGCAUAAUAAUUUUUGGACCUCAAUUGUAAAUUUGUAACUCGUUCUCUUGGAAUUCUUGUGACCAGGCACAGAGUACGGAAUUUAAAUGAAAAUUUUUAAUGAGAAAGGCGUUGGUUUACUUGUAGAAUUUAAGUCUUUCAAAUAAGCGGUUCUUUGGGGUUCUCUUCUCCCCAAGUUUCGUAUUUUCAGGAGUUGGAAAGGCAUGUGUGAGUGUAUUUUUGGAAGAAGUAAAAGCAUAAAUAUAUUUUGAAAGUGAAGACACCAAACAUUUACCUGAAAAUGAAUGUUUUGCUUUUGCUUUCUCCUUCCAUAUAGCACAUGAUGGCCUGUUAUUAAGCUACAUGUCUUUGUUUAUUUGCUGUAUUCUCCGAGUAACAGAAUAUCAAGUGCUUGGGCUCGAUACAUCAGAAAUUUUAAGAGGCUCCUAUGGAAGAAGCAGUAGGUUGCCACAAGGAUGCUCAUGUGCAUUCCUGGAUAAGCCUAAACUUGAUGUAGAUUAAGAAAAUAUGUCUCCAAAAAACCACAGCAACAAACAACUGCCAGUUGAUUUAGAUG